AUUGAAUGCUGGCGGCAGGCCUAACACAUGCAAGUCGAACGAGAGGCGGACGGGUGAGUAAUGUCUGGGAAACUGCCUGAUGGAGGGGGAUAACUACUGGAAACGGUAGCUAAUACCGCAUACCAUCGGAUGUGCCCAUAUGGGAUGAGCUAGUAGGUGGGGUAAAGGCUAACCUAGGCGACGAUCCCUAGCUGGGCUGAGAGGAGGACCAGCCACACUGGGACGGAGACACGGUCCAGACUCCUACGGGAGGCAGCAGUGGGGAAUAUUGCACAAUGGGCGCAAGCCUGAUGCAGCCAGGCCGCGUGUAUGAAGAAGGCCUGCGGGUUGUAAAGUACUUUCAGCGGGGAGGCGUUACCCGCAGAAGAAGCACCGGCUAACUCCGUGCCAGCAGCCGCGGUAAUUC
This 406-nucleotide ribosomal RNA is filed under the name uncultured bacterium. Its description in RNAcentral is "partial 16S ribosomal RNA". It matches the Rfam family "Bacterial small subunit ribosomal RNA", at positions 29 to 526 of the family's 1533-position model. The record is from RNAcentral.